RNAcentral lists this signal recognition particle RNA (297 nucleotides) under Carlito syrichta (Philippine tarsier). Its description in RNAcentral is "Metazoan signal recognition particle RNA (ENSTSYG00000028437.1)". It matches the Rfam family "Metazoan signal recognition particle RNA". Rfam says of the family: The signal recognition particle (SRP) is a universally conserved ribonucleoprotein. It is involved in the co-translational targeting of proteins to membranes. The eukaryotic SRP consists of a 300-nucleotide 7S RNA and six proteins: SRPs 72, 68, 54, 19, 14, and 9. Lineage: Eukaryota; Metazoa; Chordata; Mammalia; Primates; Tarsiidae. The record is from Rfam by way of RNAcentral.
GCCAGGCAUGGUGGUGUGCCUGUAGUGCCAGCUACCAAGAAAGCUGAGGCUGGAGGAUCAUUUGAGUCCAGGAGUUCUGGGCUGCAGUGCGCUAUGCCGAUUGGGUGUCCGCACUAAGUUUGGCGUCAAUAUGGUGACCUCCCGGGAGCUGGGAACCACAAGUUGCCUAAGGAGGGGUGAACCAGCCCAGGUUGGAAACAGAGUAGGUUAAGACACCCAGAGGAUGGAGUUGGAGACAAUCAUUCUUAGUGAUCUAUCAGAGAAACAAAGAACUGAAUACCACAUGUUCUCACUCAU